AGCAGUCGCCGCGGUAAUACAGAGGGUGCGAGCGUUAAUCGGAUUUACUGGGCGUAAAGCGUGCGCAGGCGGUUAUAUAAGACAGAUGUGAAAUCCCUGAGCUUAACUUAGGAAUUGCAUUCGAUACUGGGAAGCUAGAGUAUGGGAGAGGAUGGUAGAAUUCCAGGUGUAGCGGUGAAAUGCGUAGAGAUCUGGAGGAAUACCGAUGGCGAAGGCAGCCAUCUGGCCUAAUACUGACGCUGAGGUACGAAAGCAUGGGGAGCAAACAGGAUUAGAUACCCGGGUAGUCCCUGUCUCUUAUAC
This 303-nucleotide ribosomal RNA is filed under the name uncultured bacterium. RNAcentral describes it as "partial 16S ribosomal RNA". It matches the Rfam family "Bacterial small subunit ribosomal RNA", at positions 507 to 807 of the family's 1533-position model. The record is from RNAcentral.